AAUCAACGCUGGCGGCGCGCUUAACACAUGCAAGUCGAACGAGAAAGGGGAGCAAUCCCUGAGUAAAGUGGCAGACGGGUGAGUAACACGUGGGUCAUCCACUCCUUGGUAGGGGAUAACCCUGGGAAACCGGGGCUAAUACCGCAUAAGUCCGAGAGGAGAAAGGCGAAAGUCGCCGAGGAAGGAGCCCGCGGCCGAUUAGCUAGUUGGUAGGGUAAAGGCCUACCAAGGCUUUGAUCGGUAGCCGGCCNGAGAGGGCACACGGCCACACUGGCACUGAGACACGGGCCAGACUCCUACGGGAGGCAGCAGUGGGGAAUCUUGCACAAUGGGGGAAACCCUGAUGCAGCGACGCCGCGUGAGCGAUGAAGCCCUUCGGGGUGUAAAGCUCUUUCGACGGGAACGAUAAUGACGGUACCCGGAGAAGAAGCUGC
Molecule: ribosomal RNA, 434 nt
Filed under: uncultured bacterium
Lineage: Bacteria
Description: bacterial SSU rRNA
Rfam family: Bacterial small subunit ribosomal RNA
Source: RNAcentral